UACAGAGGGUGCUAGCGUUGUUCGGAAUCAUUGGGCGUAAAGGGCGUGUAGGCGGUUUGUUAAGUCAUGUGUGAAAUCCCUCGGCUCAACCGGGGAAGGACGCAUGAAACUGGCAAGCUAGAGUACCAAUGAGGGGGGUGGAAUUCCCGGUGUAGCGGUGAAAUGCGUAGAUAUCGGGAGGAACAUCUGUGGCGAAGGCGGCCCCCUGGUUGGAUACUGACGCUGAUACGCGAAAGCGUGGGGAGCAAACAGG
This 253-nucleotide ribosomal RNA is filed under the name uncultured bacterium. RNAcentral describes it as "partial 16S ribosomal RNA". It matches the Rfam family "Bacterial small subunit ribosomal RNA", at positions 524 to 776 of the family's 1533-position model. The record is from RNAcentral.